Molecule: ribosomal RNA, 501 nt
Filed under: uncultured Glomus
Lineage: Eukaryota; Fungi; Glomeromycota; Glomeromycetes; Glomerales; Glomeraceae
Description: SSU rRNA
Rfam family: Eukaryotic small subunit ribosomal RNA
Source: RNAcentral
AGCAGCCGCGGUAAUUCCAGCUCCAAUAGCGUAUAUUAAAGUUGUUGCAGUUAAAAAGCUCGUAGUUGAAUUUCGGGAUCAAGGGAUCGGUCAUGCCUUGGUAUGUACUGGUUUUAUUGGUUCUCACCUUCUAAAGAACCAUAAUGUCAUUUAUUUGAUAUUAUGGGGAAUUAGGACUGUUACCUUGAAAAAUUAGAGUGUUUAAAGCAAGCUUACGCUUGAAUACAUUAGCAUGGAAUAAUGAAAUAGGACAUCAGAUUCUAUUUUGUUGGUUUCUAGGAUCGAUGUAAUGAUUAAUAGGGAUAGUUGGGGGCAUUAGUAUUCAAUUGUCAGAGGUGAAAUUCUUGGAUUUAUUGAAGACUAACUACUGCGAAAGCAUUUGCCAAGGAUGUUUUCAUUAAUCAAGAACGAAAGUUAGGGGAUCGAAGACGAUCAGAUACCGUCGUAGUCUUAGCCAUAAACUAUGCCGACUAGGGAUCGGAUGAUGUUAAUUUUUAAUGA